This 24-nucleotide non-coding RNA is filed under the name Arabidopsis thaliana (thale cress). The record is from RNAcentral. Lineage: Eukaryota; Viridiplantae; Streptophyta; Magnoliopsida; Brassicales; Brassicaceae.
UAGUGUUUCCUUGUUAGAAGAUAC